GUAUCCUCGUAGAGGCAGGACAGGACGCAAACCAACCAAGACAGAUCCUAAUACGGAGAGCAGGAUCCCAUUGCUUAUGAGCUUAGAUAUAUAUGUGCCAAGGGACGAGCGAUUUGGACAUGUGAAGAUGUCAGACUUCUUGACAUUUGCUUUGAAAUCCAUUUCUCAGCUCCUCCUCCCCGAGUUUAAGGCUUUAUUUGAUAGCACGCCUAAUGAAUUUGAUAGCUU
RNAcentral lists this unclassified non-coding RNA (228 nucleotides) under Hevea brasiliensis (rubber tree). Lineage: Eukaryota; Viridiplantae; Streptophyta; Magnoliopsida; Malpighiales; Euphorbiaceae. The record is from RNAcentral.